AGCAAACCCGCUUGAAUUUAAGCAUAUAAGUAAGCGGAGGAUAAGAAACUAAAUAGGAUUCCCUCAGUAAUGGCGAAUGAACAGGGAUAAGCUCAGCAUGGAAAUUGGGGCCCUCGGCCUUGAAUUGUAGUCUUGAGAUGUGUUACCAACGGAGGCGCAGAUGUAAGCCUCUUGGAAAAGAGCGUCAGGGAGGGUGAGAGUCCCGUAUGUCAUCUGCAGUUCUCUGUGCACGGUGCAUGUUCUAAGAGUCACGUUCCUCGGGAUUGGAGCGCAAAUUGGGUGGUAAAUUUCAUCUAAAGCUAAAUAUUGGUUCGAGACCGAUAGCAAACAAGUACCAUGAGGGAAAGGUGAAAAGGACUUUGAAAAGAGAGUUAAAAGUGCCUGAAAUUGCUGAAAGGGAAGCGAAUGGAACCAGUUGUUCUUGGUGAGUAUUGGUGUUGUCUAAAGUGAUGGCUUGCCACUUCAACGCAAGUGUGGUGGCAGGUUUUGAUCUGGAUGCGAUACUGCUUCUCGCCUUGCAUGUCAACGUCAGUUCAUAAUUGAGGAAAACUCUAAGGACAUGGUAAUUCGCUUCCGAGUGACUGAAUGUCCUCAGUUGAACUCAUUUUUGAACUGCUCUCUGUGUGUCUGGUAGCACUGCUUCAUGUGCUUGCCUGCGAUCUUCUGCUCUGCAUGAAGGUUGUUGGUGCCAGGAGCAUGUCCUUGACAUUAGAACGAUGACGAAAUGGUUUUNUUCGACCCGUCUUGAAACAC
This 753-nucleotide ribosomal RNA is filed under the name Karenia mikimotoi. Its description in RNAcentral is "partial 24S large subunit ribosomal RNA". It matches the Rfam family "Eukaryotic large subunit ribosomal RNA", at positions 18 to 662 of the family's 3401-position model. Lineage: Eukaryota; Dinophyceae; Gymnodiniales; Kareniaceae. The record is from RNAcentral.